AAGUGGGGAUGACGUCAAGUCCUCAUGGCCCUUAUGGUAGGGCUUCACACGUCAUACAAUGGUCGGUACAGAGGGUUGCCCAAGCCGCGAGGUGGAGCCAAUCCCUUAAAGCCGAUCGUAGUCCGGAUCGUAGUCUGCAACUCGACUACGUGAAGUCGGAAUCGCUAGUAAUCGCGGAUCAGCAUGUCGCGGUGAAUACGUUCCCGGGUCUU
RNAcentral lists this ribosomal RNA (212 nucleotides) under uncultured Thauera sp. Its description in RNAcentral is "partial 16S ribosomal RNA". It matches the Rfam family "Bacterial small subunit ribosomal RNA", at positions 1171 to 1382 of the family's 1533-position model. The record is from RNAcentral. Lineage: Bacteria; Pseudomonadati; Pseudomonadota; Betaproteobacteria; Rhodocyclales; Zoogloeaceae.